GAUGAAGAACGUAGCAAAAUGCGAUAAGUAAUGUGAAUUGCAGAAUUCAGUGAAUCAUCGAAUCUUUGAACGCACAUUGCGCCCGCCAGUAUUCUGGCGGGCAUGCCUGUUCGAGCGUCAUUUCAACCCUCAAGCUCAGCUUGGUGUUGGGACUCACGGUAACCCGCGUUCCCCAAAUCGAUUGGCGGUCACGUCGAGCUUCCAUAGCGUAGUAAUCAUACACCUCGUUACUGGUAAUCGUCGCGGCCACGCCGUAAAACCCCAACUUCUGAAUGUUGACCUCGGAUCAGGUAGGAAUACCCGCUGAACUUAAGCAUAUCAAUAAGCGGAGGA
Molecule: unclassified non-coding RNA, 333 nt
Filed under: soil metagenome
Description: partial contains 5.8S ribosomal RNA, internal transcribed spacer 2, and large subunit ribosomal RNA
Rfam family: 5.8S ribosomal RNA (bases 1-120)
Source: RNAcentral